AGGUCACUGCUAUCGGUGUUCGAUUAAGCCAUGCGAGUCGUGAGGGGUAAAGCCCUCGGCGGAGUGCUCAGUAACACGUGGACAACCUACCCAAGAGUCAGGGAUAACCCCGGGAAACUGGGGAUAAUACCUGAUAGGCCAUGACAUCUGGAAUCGAGUUGUGGUUUAAACGUAAGGCUCUUGGAUGGGUCUGCGGCGGAUUAGGUUGUUGCCGGUGUAACGUACCAGCAAGCCUGUAAUCCGUACGGGUUGUGGGAGCAAGAGCCUGGAGAUGGAUUCUGAGACACGAAUCCAGGCCCUACGGGGCGCAGCAGGCGCGAAAACUCUACAAUGCAGGCAACUGCGAUAGGGGAACAUCGAGUGGCAUCCACCAUGGAUGUCUGUCCAAUCGUCUAAAAAACGAUUGUCAGCAAGGGCCGGGCAAGACCGGUGCCAGCCGCCGCGGUAAUACCGGCGGCUCGAGUGGUGGCCGAUAUUAUUGAGUCUAAAGGGUCCGUAGCCGGCUUUGCAAGUCCUAUGGGAAAUCCAGCGGCUUAACCGUUGGGCUUUCAUGGGAUACUACAUUGCUUGGGACUGGGAGAGGUAGGAGGUACUCAGGGGGUAGGGGUGAAAUCCUGUAAUCCUUUGGGGACCACCGGUGGCGAAGGCGUCCUACCAGAACAGGUCCGACGGUGAGGGACGAAAGCUAGGGGCACGAACCGGAUUAGAUACCCGGGUAGUCCUAGCCGUAAACGAUGCUCGCUAGGUGUCACGGCAGUCGUGAAUUGUCGUGGUGCCGUAGGGAAGCCGUGAAGCGAGCCACUUGGGAAGUACGACCGCAAGGUUGAAACUUAA
RNAcentral lists this ribosomal RNA (834 nucleotides) under uncultured soil archaeon. Its description in RNAcentral is "bacterial SSU rRNA". It matches the Rfam family "Archaeal small subunit ribosomal RNA", at positions 21 to 859 of the family's 1478-position model. The record is from RNAcentral.